Molecule: unclassified non-coding RNA, 315 nt
Filed under: plant metagenome
Description: partial contains 5.8S ribosomal RNA, internal transcribed spacer 2, and large subunit ribosomal RNA
Rfam family: 5.8S ribosomal RNA (bases 1-105)
Source: RNAcentral
GAACUGCGAUAAGUAAUGUGAAUUGCAGAAUUCAGUGAAUCAUCGAGUCUUUGAACGCACAUUGCGCCCCCUGGCAUUCCGGGGGGCAUGCCUGUCCGAGCGUCAUUGCUGCCCUUCAAGCCCGGCUUGUGUGUUGGGUCGUCGUCCCCUCCGGGGGACGGGCCCGAAAGGCAGCGGCGGCACCGCGUCCGGUCCUCGAGCGUAUGGGGCUUUGUCACCCGCUCGAUAAGGACCGGCCGGGCGCCAGCCGGUGUCUCCAACCUUUUUUUCUCAGGUUGACCUCGGAUCAGGUAGGGAUACCCGCUGAACUUAAGC